This is a long non-coding RNA of Amblyraja radiata (thorny skate), 157 nucleotides long. RefSeq lists it as uncharacterized. The transcript is spliced from 3 exons. NCBI's taxonomy places the organism in Eukaryota, Metazoa, Chordata, Chondrichthyes, Rajiformes, Rajidae. The record is from RefSeq and is a predicted model, not a curated record.
UCAUCGGUUUUCUCCCACAGCUCAAAGACGUACAGGUAUGUAGGUUAACUGGCCCUCUGUUAAUUCCCCCUAAUGUGUAGGGAGUGCAUGCAAAAGUGGGAUAACAUUGAACUAGUGUGAAUUGGAGAUCGAUGGUCGGCGUGGACUCGGUGGGCCA